AAGUCGUAACAAGGUCUCCGUUGGUGAACCAGCGGAGGGAUCAUUACCGAGCAACGCGCUCCCACACCCCGCGCGCACCGCAUACCGAACGUUGCCUCGGCGGGCUCGCCCCCGCCGGAGGGCCCCUGAAAACCCUGCCCGACCCCGGGCGCGAUACCCUCUGAUUGUGGACGAAGAAAUCGAGUCAAAACUUUCAACAACGGAUCUCUUGGUUCUG
RNAcentral lists this unclassified non-coding RNA (217 nucleotides) under Claviceps sp. RNAcentral describes it as "partial contains small subunit ribosomal RNA, internal transcribed spacer 1, and 5.8S ribosomal RNA". The stretch from base 1 to 46 matches the Rfam family "Eukaryotic small subunit ribosomal RNA", at positions 1786 to 1831 of the family's 1831-position model. The record is from RNAcentral. Lineage: Eukaryota; Fungi; Ascomycota; Sordariomycetes; Hypocreales; Clavicipitaceae.